CAGACCCACUCAGGACACAGCAUGGACAUGAGGGUCCCCGCUCAGCUCCUGGGGCUCGUGCUGCUCUGGCUCCCAGGUGCCAGAUGUGACAUCCAGAUGACCCAGUCUCCAUCUUCCGUGUCUGCAUCUGUGGGAGACAGAGUCACCAUCACUUGUCGGGCGAGUCAGGGCAUUAGCAGUGCUUUAGCCUGGUAUCAGCAGAAACCAGGGAAACCCGCUAAGCUCCUGAUCUAUGCUGCCUCCAGUUUACAAAGUGGGGUCCCAUCAAGGUUCAGCGGCAGUGGAUCUGGGACAGAUUACACUCUCACCAUCAGCAGCCUGCAGCCUGAAGAUUUUGCAACUUAUUACUGUCAACAGUAUAACAGUGUCCCUCCCACAGUGUUACACACCCGAACAAAAACCCCCCCAGGGAAGCAGAUGUGUGAGGCUGGGCUGCCCCAGCUGCUCCUUCUGAUGCCUCUAUCAGCUGAGAGUGGUCCUCAGAUGCAGCCACACUCUGAUGGUGCUGGUAGAGGGGGACAUGAAGUCACCUCUGCACCCUAA
Molecule: non-coding RNA, 543 nt
Organism: Pongo pygmaeus (Bornean orangutan)
Lineage: Eukaryota; Metazoa; Chordata; Mammalia; Primates; Hominidae
Source: the annotation of a RefSeq genome assembly